GUUCUUUGAAGCCCAACCAACAAUUCAGGCAAAUUGUAAAGCUAAAAUCAUAGCAUGUUCAGGUAUUUAUGGGAUAUGGAAAAUUAACAAAGUCCAGUUCGACCACAAUCANNNNNNNNNNNNNNNNNNNNNNNNNNNNNNNAAAAAGGAUAUGAUGGAAAAAUGAAAUAUUUAAACCUUCACAUGUAGCCAUGAAGGCCGAAAAACCACUAAUACAAGCGGUUCUUUGAAGCCCAACCAACAAUUCAGGCAAAUUGUAAAGCUAAAAUCAUAGCAUGUUCAGGUAUUUAUGGGAUAUGGAAAAUUAACAAAGUCCAGUUCGACCACAAUCAUAAAACAAGUCCUUCAAAAUCGAGAUUGUAUCACUACAAUCAGGAGAUAAGUUCACAUGUGAAACGAAAGCUUGAAGUAAAUGAUUUGGCAGGAAUUCCAAUGCACAAAAGCUACAACUCUGUAGUUGUUGAAACAGGGGGUAUGAAAAUCUUACUUGUGUGGAAAAGGACAGUCAAAAUUAUGUUGAGGAAAUGAGAAGAUUAAAACUUGGGGAAGGAGAUGCCGCAGCAAUACAGUCCUACUUUUCCAAGAUGCAAGCCCAGUGCUCUGGACUCUACUUCAACAUAGAUUUGAAUGACAAAUCUUGAUUAAGAAAUGUCUUUUGGGCAAAUAACAGGUGUUGGCAAGCGUACAAGGAGUUCGACGACGUUAUCACAUUUGACACCACUUACUUAACUAACAAGUACGAUAUGCAUUUUACCCCUUUUGUUGGCGUUAAUCAUCACGGACAACCUACUUUGCUCGAUUAUGAUUUGUUGUCCAGUGAGAGCACAAAUUCUUUUGUGUGGCUAUUUAGGACAUGGCUUUAGUGUAUGUACGAAAAAGUUCCCCAUGGAAUCAUUAUCGAUCAAGAUAAAGUCAUGCAAAAUGCAAUUGAGAUUAUUUUUCCAAAUACGAAACACAGAUGGCGUUUGUGGCAUAUUCUGAAGAAAUUGCCAGAAAAAUUUGGAUUCCAUGUCGAUAAGGCUUCGAUUUUUCGAGCAUACAUAGGUUAUUAUAUGAUUCGCAGUUUGUUGAAGAAUUUGAAAAGGGUUGGAGAGUGAUGAUCGAGACAUAUGACUUGCAUAGCAAUGAUUGGUUAACAGGACUAUUCUAUAAUAGAAGUCAUUGGUUCCUUGCUAUUUAAAGACCACAUUUUGGGCAGGAAUGUCAACAACUCAGCGCAGGGAGAGUAUGAAUGCCUUUUUCGAUAGGUAUGUUCAUGCGAAAAUCUCAUUGAAGCAGUUUGUGAAACAAUAUGAACGAGCACUGAGGAAUAAGGUUGAGAAGGAGUUCCAGGUUGACUUCAAGUCAUACUCACAAAUGGUACCGUGUACAAAAUGUUCAAAAUGGAGAAGCAGUAUCAGAAGUGUUGUACCAUUUCAAAGUUCAGAUAAGUUCAAAUCGAAUUGAUUGGGAAGGUUUACUGUGACAUCAUUUUACUACGGAGAGUACUGCAGGAAUGACCUACGAAAUACGAGAGCUUGUGAUGUGUGAUGAGCGACGAAUCAUAAAAAAUUUCUUCGUCUCAUUCCAAAGAGAUGUUUGUGAAAUCAUUUGCAGUUGACACUUGUUUGAGUUUCGGGAAAUUCUAUGUUGGCAUGCUAUCAUGGUAUUGAUCCGAAACGAUGUCAUGUCACUGCCUGAGAGGUAUAUGCUACGACAAUGGAGGAGAGAUAUUUGUAGAGCACAUACCAGGUUCGCAGUGAAUUAUGAUGGUCUGGUAAGUAUGCCAGAAUAGUUGAGAUACGACGAUUUGUGUCAAGAUUUUGCGGAUGUUGCAAAUCUCAUUACCGAUGAUGAAGUGCAAUCCCAUGUAAUAAAGGAGUGGAUAAUAAAUAAAAAACAAGUGCUGCUUACGAUAAAGUCAGACAGUGGGAGUAUUAUUAUUUCACAUGUUGGUAAUCCGUUCACCUCACAGUGCAACGAAUCUAAAGACAAUGUCAGCGGGUGCGUACGCGAUCCUAUAUCAACCAAGAGGAAGGGUGCACCAAAGAAGCUUCGGAAGAAAAAUCCAUUGGAGUCCUCUUCGAAGAAAACUAAGGUAUGGUAGUCAGUCUUUUAAUUAAUUUAUUAAUAUUACGCUACAAUAGAUAUGUAAUACUUGUUUAUGUAUAGACUUCUACCAAAGGAAAGAGGCCAACGUCGAGUCACAGUAAUGCGCCAAUGGUUGCACCCAUCGUUGAAGCAUCUCCACAACUAUUGUUAGUUAGUAUAUUUUAGUGAUUUAGUUGAUUCUUAUUUUUUGAGUGAAGCUAAUAAUUGAGUUAUUGUUUGAUGUAGGGCGACGCCCAAAUCCAUGCUUACCCGCAACACUUGCCGGCAUCAAGUUUGGUCCGACCAACGUCAACAAAUCUUAUAUUUACUUCCUUUAGGUUUACAUGUUUCAAUCUUUCCAUUCCAUUCAACUUUUCAUUUGGUGUGUGCUUAUGUUCAUAUUCUACAAUAGGUCAUUCGGUUUCAUACUACUACCACAUUUUCCCCAACAAAGUGGCCCUGGCCAAUGAACCGUGGCUUCAAACAAGCAACUCGGCAAGAAGUUGUGGUAAAUGCUCAAUGGUUUAUUUUGAAGUCUUUUGUUUCAAUCUACAUCCUACAAAAGGGACACUCCCUCACCGAUUCUCAAAAAUGAGGAAAGAAAAUGUGGUGGCUGGUUAUCUAUGUUGUUUUUAAUUUUUGAGUUUCAGUUGAAGACAUGAUUUCUUUGUCAAAUGGCUGACAUUUGGAUAGUUUAGCAUUUUUGCUGAUGGUAAUUUUUGUUUUAAUUUCUAAUUAUUGUUGAUGGUAAUUAUUGUUCAAAUACUUUAUGUUCGUUUUACCCCGGCACUUCACAAACUAUCUUGUAUUGUAUAGGUAUUGUCAGCCAAUGGUAAUUAUUGUUCAAAUCAUAUUGUUUUGCUCUUUGAUAUUGUUCAAAUCAUACUGAUUCUAAAU
RNAcentral lists this long non-coding RNA (2967 nucleotides) under Olea europaea subsp. europaea. Lineage: Eukaryota; Viridiplantae; Streptophyta; Magnoliopsida; Lamiales; Oleaceae. The record is from RNAcentral.